GUGUCAGCAGCCGCGGUAAUACGUAGGGUGCGAGCGUUGUCCGGAUUUAUUGGGUUUAAAGGGUGCGUAGGCGGGAGAGUAAGUUCGCUUUUAAAGCCGGCCGCUUAACGGUCAGGUAGGGGGCGGAUACUGCUUUUCUUGAGAGGGCUCGGGGCUGGCGGAAUUUGUGGUGUAGCGGUGAAAUGCAUAGAUACCACAAGGAACACCGAUCGCGUAGGCAGCCAGCCAGGGCCUUUCUGACGCUGAGGCACGAAAGUGCGGGGAGCAAACAGGAUUAGAUACCCUAGUAGUC
RNAcentral lists this ribosomal RNA (292 nucleotides) under uncultured Bacteroidota bacterium. Its description in RNAcentral is "uncultured Bacteroidetes bacterium partial 16S ribosomal RNA". It matches the Rfam family "Bacterial small subunit ribosomal RNA", at positions 505 to 795 of the family's 1533-position model. Lineage: Bacteria; Pseudomonadati; Bacteroidota. The record is from RNAcentral.